AAUAUAUUCACAGCUAGAUCAGCUUCUAUCAGGGAGUAAUUUUAAGUUCACAAGUUUAUGGAUUCAAUUCAAGAGAUGGAAGUCACACUUGGAAAAGCUAUAAGAUUGGGACGAUAUUCAAUAUGCAAAGCGAUGUUAUAUCCUCCUUGGAAGGCAUUGGGGGCAUAACUUCAGGCCGAGGGCAACCACGAUUCAUCAAUAACUAACAAAGGCAGGAAGAAGAUAGUUUUCUCAACAUGAAACAAGCAAUGUUCUGAGGGCUCUAAGGACAGCUUCACCAUUCUUUCACCAACUAACCAAUCCAUAUUUGUUCCAAGUCUGGUUUACCACAAUCCCAGGUUUGUUUUACGUCUUCGAAUAUUAUUCAAUUUUUAUAAAAAUAUUUACUUAUAAUAGUAUGGUAGGACCUGUAGUAAUUUGAGAUUAUUUUACAUCUCUAAAGAUGGUUUUUCUUCUUCUUUUCUUUUCAAUUAAAGCUUCA
Long non-coding RNA from Humulus lupulus (European hop), 481 nucleotides. RefSeq lists it as uncharacterized. Lineage: Eukaryota; Viridiplantae; Streptophyta; Magnoliopsida; Rosales; Cannabaceae. The record is from RefSeq and is a predicted model, not a curated record. The transcript is spliced from 3 exons.